ACUGUCAUAAAAUAAGAGUUACGACGACAUAUUUUGUACAAAAAAUUGUUGUAUUUUUGCAACGUGGUCGUGACGUGGACAAUAGAAUUAUAUGUCAUGACGUGGCAGUGGUUAUAGAGCGUAGUAGGGACCAGUCAAGGAGUGCAAACCCCCCGGAAACCGAGACAAAGUCCGCCCCGGCAAGUCGCGUAGACCCGUAGAUCGCGCAUUGGGGGCGGUAAAUCGUUCCAGCACCGGGAGGCCGCAAACCUGAACGAUCCACGAAAGGCAGCAGUUCUGUGCGCCGGCGUCUCGAAAACACUAGUA
RNAcentral lists this unclassified non-coding RNA (306 nucleotides) under Melitaea cinxia (Glanville fritillary). RNAcentral's name for it is "misc RNA ENSMCXG00005001729.1". The record is from RNAcentral. Lineage: Eukaryota; Metazoa; Arthropoda; Insecta; Lepidoptera; Nymphalidae.